AUUGAACGCUGGCGGCAGGCCUAACACAUGCAAGUCGAGCGGUAACAUUUCUAGCUUGCUAGAAGAUGACGAGCGGCGGACGGGUGAGUAAUGCUUGGAAAUCUGCCUGGUAGUGGGGGACAACAGUUGGAAACGACUGCUAAUACCGCAUAACCUCUUCGGAGCAAAGUGGGGGACCCUCGGGCCUCACGCUACCAGAUGAGUCCAAGUGGGAUUAGCUAGUUGGUGAGGUAAAGGCUCACCAAGGCGACGAUCCCUAGCUGGUUUGAGAGGAUGAUCAGUCACACUGGAACUGAGACACGGUCCAGACUCCUACGGGAGGCAGCAGUGGGGAAUAUUGCACAAUGGAGGAAACUCUGAUGCAGCAACGCCGCGUGGAGGAUGAC
This 386-nucleotide ribosomal RNA is filed under the name uncultured Gammaproteobacteria bacterium. Its description in RNAcentral is "bacterial SSU rRNA". It matches the Rfam family "Bacterial small subunit ribosomal RNA", at positions 30 to 412 of the family's 1533-position model. Lineage: Bacteria; Pseudomonadati; Pseudomonadota; Gammaproteobacteria. The record is from RNAcentral.